This 1230-nucleotide long non-coding RNA is filed under the name Nicotiana tabacum (common tobacco). Its description in RNAcentral is "long non-coding RNA (NTAB_LNC007959)". Lineage: Eukaryota; Viridiplantae; Streptophyta; Magnoliopsida; Solanales; Solanaceae. The record is from RNAcentral.
AGACUCAAACGGCGCAACUACUGUUCAAUCGUCUCUCUCGCCCAAACCAAGCCCCAAUUCAGUCCAGUUUCAGGCGACCAUGCGUCUCCCCCUUCUCUCCUCCUGCCAUUUUGUAAUGGUUUCUGACACCAAAGAUCCCCCCUCCCCUCACUCACCCGAUUUUGAACCAUAUCACGCAAUUGGAAGGUUCUGGAGGACGAUCGUUGGAUGAGUAUGAGGAGUUGGAUUGAUUUCAUUCAAUCCGAGCCCAACAUUCAUCAGGUGCUCAUUUUCAAAAAGGACCAAAUUCGAUUUUGUAAAGGGGGAUGAUUCAGAGGGAAUUUUUGGAGAGAAGAGAGGUCACUUGGAAAUUAGGAUUCUAAUUAAGCUUCUUUUCUCUUUUAUUCAUCUGAAACUAUCUUGGUUUAAUUCCAUUUACAAUAGAAAAAAACAUUUCAUUUUCGUUUUUAAUCUUAGCCCCUUUUGUUCUUUUCAUCUUCAAGUUCAGAAAUUUUCACUUUCAUGAUGAGUUUGGAUUGAACUCGAAGGUUGAGUUUGUUUUCUGGAUUUCAUUUUGAGUUAAUGGAAGUCGACUGAGUGCUGUUUGUUUCGAGCUGCUCCAACGUUGUUCGUUUAGCUGCUGGUUCGUGAGUUCAUUGCAAUCUUUGUUUGGACUCGCUUCCUCUGAGAAUCGUUGUAAUCAUUAAAUAGCAUUAAUCGAAAGUUCAUUUUCAGGUUCAUUUCUAGACUCUCCUAUUUUUUUUUCUAUUUUGUGUGAUCUGAAAUGUCUUGUUUGUUUUAAUAGAUUCCUGGAUACCUAAGAAGUAAAUUAACAUAAAUGAACAAUUUUAGGAUGCUUGGUUAAGCUUUGAGUUGGUUUUCUGAAUUUGAACAUGGUUGUUUGAGUGGUUCUGUUGUUUUUAUGGAAAUGUGAAUACAAAUGGAGACUGACUUGGAGUGUUGUUGACUGAGAAUCGUAUGAAGUUGAUUCAUGGGCUGUGACCUGAAGUUGUAUUAAGAAAUCUUGCAAGUUCAGUUCCUGUAACAUGUUUCUGUCCAGUUUGCUGCACUGCUGAGUAGCUUCAGCUACAAUUUCUGCUAGUUUGAGUUAUAGUUUUGUUGUAUCCAGUUAAUGUUGGAUUUGCUGUUUAUCUUUUGCUUCAAUGAAAGUUUAUGAAAAUAGCAACCAUUAGUUUCUUUGUUGUUGAUUAGCUGUGUUUGAGCUCUAGCUUUAAAGCCAGGAUCAUUGCU